This 2133-nucleotide ribosomal RNA is filed under the name Triticum aestivum (bread wheat). RNAcentral describes it as "partial small subunit ribosomal RNA". Lineage: Eukaryota; Viridiplantae; Streptophyta; Magnoliopsida; Poales; Poaceae. The record is from RNAcentral.
AUGCCCAUACUAAAGUUGAGCUACAAACACCUGUCAUCUGAAAUGAAGCAAUGUUUUGCAUUUUGUGCAGUUUUUCCUAAGGAUCAUGAGAUGGAGAAGGAAAUGUUGAUCCAAUUAUGGAUGGCAAAUGGCUUUAUUCAAACAGGAACACUAGAUUUAAAACAGAAAGGCGAAUUAAUUUUCGAUGAGUUGGUUUGGAGAUCCUUCCUCCAAGAUAAGAAAGAGAGCACAAAUUUUCAUAUAAAUGGUUUUUCCUGUAAAAUGCAUGAUUUAAUGCAUGAUCUAGCAAAAAGUGUCACAGAUGAAUGUGCAAGUAUAGAAGAACUAACUCAACAGAAAGCAUUGUUAAAAGAUGUUUGUCACAUGCACAUAUCAAAGGCUGAAUUGAAACAAAUCAAUUGGUUAUGCAAAGGCAGAACAUGCCUCCGCACUUUGUUAGCUCCAACAAACUCACACAAGGAUUUUAAAGAACUGCUACACAUAUCGGUAUCACUAAGAGCGCUGCAUUUCCGCCCUUAUUCAAUUGCACUUUGCAAGUCCAUAAACGCAAAACAUUUACGAUUCCUUGACCUCUCUGGGUCUAGCAUCAUUAGUUUGCCAGAUUCAAUAUGUGCGUUGUAUAACUUGCAAACAUUGAGGCUCCUACGUUGUUAUAUGUUGCAUCAGUUACCAGAGAACAUGGCAAGACUGAGAAAGCUCAUCAAUCUUUAUCUCUUUGGUUGUGAUAGUCUCAGAAGUAUGGCUCCAAACUUUGGUGUACUGAACAACCUUCAAAUAUUAACAACAUUUGUUGUGGAUACUGGAGAAGGCCUUGGAAUAGAGCAGCUAAAAGACUUGCAACACCUUAGCAAUAGGUUGGAACUAUUGAAUUUGAACAAGAUAAAGAGUGGGGAGAAUGCAAAAGAAGCCAAUCUCACUCAGAAGCAAAACGUAAGUGAGUUGUUGUUCUCGUGGGACCAAGAAAUAGAUGAUGGGCCAAAAGAUAUGGCAUGUAAUGUGGAAGAAGUGCUUCAGUGUUUAGAACCUCAUAGUAAUAUCCAGAAGUUGGAGAUAAGUGGAUAUGGUGGCCUAGAAAUAUCACAAUGGAUGAGAAAGCCACAGAUGUUUGACUGCUUGAGAGAACUCAAAAUUUCCAACUGCCCAAGAUGCAAGAGUAUACCCGUAGUAUGGCUUUCAGAAUCUCUAGAGGUUUUGUUCUUACAAAGGAUGGAUAACCUGACAACAUUAUGCACUAACCUUAGUGUGGAAGCUGGAGGGCGCAUUACAACUCUGCAAAUUUUCCCAAGGUUGAAGAAGUUGUUGUUGCUUGAGUUACCAAACUUGGAGAUGUGGGCAGAAAAUUGUGUGGGAGAGCCUACUGUUAGCUUGGUAAUGUUCCCUAUGCUUCAAGAGCUAACGAUCAGAAAUUGCCCCACGCUUGCAAGUAUUCCAGUGAUCCCUGUUGUCAGCGAGUUGAAAAUAGUUGGGGUUCAUAGUACUGCAGUCAAUUUAGUUUUGAUGAGCAUCUGUUUGGGCUCUUGGCCAUUUCUCAUCAGUUUAACUGUUGGGUAUGGAGAAGACAUGCCCAUGUUGCCUCUAGACGCCCAUCAAAGCCAUGGUGAAAGACCUCUUGAAAAACUUAAGUAUUUGUAUCUGGAAGGCUGCAACAGCUUGGUGAGAAGCUCCGAAUUGUCCAGGUCACAACUUAUGGUUUGGAAAUGCUUUCAACUCGUGGAAAGUCUGACGAUUAGCGGAUGCUGGGAUCUCUUUCACUGGCCAACAGAGGGGCUCCGGAGCUUGUAUUGCCUCCGCUCUCUAUGUAUCAGAUAUUGUCACUACCUGGAGGGGAAUACUUCAUCGUCCGAGGAGGAAACCCUUCCACUGUGCCUAGAGGAGUUGAUGAUUUCAGGCUGCCGCAAUGUGGUAGCGCUGCCUUCGAACCUUGGAAAACUUGCCAAGCUGAGGAGCCUCUCUUUGUUCGACUGUACAUGCCUGAAAGCGCUGCCUGACGGGAUGUGUGGCCUCAGUUCUCUUAGGAAAUUGGAGAUUUGGAAUUGUCCAGGUAUGGAGGAAUUCCCACAUGGUCUUCUGGAGCGGUUACCCGGCCUCGAAGACUUAACCAUAUAUGACUGCCCGGAGUUGCUAAGACGAUGC